This is a long non-coding RNA of Pelodiscus sinensis (Chinese soft-shelled turtle), 663 nucleotides long. RefSeq lists it as uncharacterized. NCBI's taxonomy places the organism in Eukaryota, Metazoa, Chordata, Testudines, Trionychidae. The record is from RefSeq and is a predicted model, not a curated record.
CUGCCAUCUUGGGUGUGGCACUUUGGUUCUAUUUCCGUUGUGUCCCCAAGGGCCGCCAUCGUACUUGUGGUCUGUAGGGGGGCGGAACAUCUUCCCCUGCUCUGUGUAGGCGCUGAGAGGCGGGGCCGAAGGGGACGUGCGCCACUACCGCUAUCGCUGACACCCAAGCUGUGUCCGGUUUUGCUGCUAGGAAUGCUGGCUAUUAUGGAACUACCUCCUAUUAAUGUGGCAAACUCUGUGACUGACCAUAUGAAACACAUGGGGAUAGUCUCUUUCCUGAAGCAAACCUUUCCCAGGGGUUAGAGGCAUCACCCACAGGACUGGAUAAGGCUGCAGCAAUGGUUACAUACUUAAGAAGAAGAAGAAGUCUCAGAGAGAGGAGCACAUGACCAGCUGUUAUCUUUAUGACUAUUUAGUUUGGACACAGUCUGUUGCUCUUCUGCUCGAUAGAUGUUCUCACGGUCCAGUCUGCAGAUCAAGCUGUCAGGGCAGCAUGUGGAAAACUUGGCUUAAAACACCCAGGAUCAUGCCACGAGAAAAAGAAGGAAUAAAAGUGGAUUUCUUGUUUUGAGUUAGCAUAAAAAAGUUCUUAUAUAGAGACAUAGUCUCUUUUUGUUCUUCUAUAUAGCAGUUGCAGAUGGCACCACUAUUCUUUGUUCAGUA